GUGGGGAAUAUUGGACAAUGGGCGAAAGCUUGAUCCAGCCAUGCCGCGUGUGUGAAGAAGGCCUUUUGGUUGUAAAGCACUUUAAGCGAGGAGGAGGCUACCGAGAUUAAUACUCUUGGAUAGUGGACGUUACUCGCAGAAUAAGCACCGGCUAACUCUGUGCCAGCAGCCGCGGUAAUACAGAGGGUGCGAGCGUUAAUCGGAUUUACUGGGCGUAAAGCGUGCGUAGGCGGCUUUUUAAGUCGGAUGUGAAAUCCCUGAGCUUAACUUAGGAAUUGCAUUCGAUACUGGGAAGCUAGAGUAUGGGAGAGGAUGGUAGAAUUCCAGGUGUAGCGGUGAAAUGCGUAGAGAUCUGGAGGAAUACCGAUGGCGAAGGCAGCCAUCUGGCCUAAUACUGACGCUGAGGUACGAAAGCAUGGGGAGCAAACAGGAUUAGAUACCCCUGUAGUCC
Molecule: ribosomal RNA, 451 nt
Filed under: uncultured bacterium
Lineage: Bacteria
Description: partial 16S ribosomal RNA
Rfam family: Bacterial small subunit ribosomal RNA
Source: RNAcentral